UACGUAGGGGGCAAGCGUUAUCCGGAUUUACUGGGUGUAAAGGGAGCGUAGACGGCAGAGCAAGUCUGAAGUGAAAGCCCGCGGCCCAACUGCGGGACUGCUUUGGAAACUGCCCGGCUAGAGUGCUGGAGAGGUAAGCGGAAUUCCUAGUGUAGCGGUGAAAUGCAUAGAUAUCACGCAGAACUCCGAUUGCGAAGGCAGCAUACCGGCGCCCGACUGACGCUGAGGCACGAAAGCGUGGGGAUCGGACAGG
Molecule: ribosomal RNA, 253 nt
Filed under: uncultured bacterium
Lineage: Bacteria
Description: partial 16S ribosomal RNA
Rfam family: Bacterial small subunit ribosomal RNA
Source: RNAcentral